RNAcentral lists this ribosomal RNA (274 nucleotides) under uncultured bacterium. Its description in RNAcentral is "partial 16S ribosomal RNA". It matches the Rfam family "Bacterial small subunit ribosomal RNA", at positions 523 to 796 of the family's 1533-position model. The record is from RNAcentral.
AUACGGAGGGUGCGAACGUUAUUCGGAAUCACUGGGCUUAAAGGGUGCGUAGGCGGUUUAUCAAGUCAGAUGUGAAAUGCCUGAGCUCAACUGAGGCACUGCGUUUGAAACUGAUAGACUUGAGUAUUCCAGGGGUAUGCGGAACUGCCAGUGGAGCGGUGAAAUGCGUUGAUAUUGGCAGGAACACCAGUGGCGAAGGCGGCAUACUGGGGGAUUACUGACGCUGAGGCACGAAAGCCAGGGUAGCGAACGGGAUUAGAUACCCCAGUAGUCC